GCCCUGACCCCCCCGGGCUGGGGGCUGCCCGCAGAGCCGCGGAAACUUCCCCCGCGCUCCGCCGCACUCACCAGGAGCUGGGUGCCAGUGGAAUGUGUUGCACUGGAACAUUUCCCUCUGAUGCUGGGCAGUUUCCUCCCCACUGGAAGUCCUGAAGAGAGAUAAAGAAACAUUGCAGAAAAAUGC
Melospiza melodia melodia is the source of this 186-nucleotide long non-coding RNA. RefSeq lists it as uncharacterized. Lineage: Eukaryota; Metazoa; Chordata; Aves; Passeriformes; Passerellidae. The record is from RefSeq and is a predicted model, not a curated record. The transcript is spliced from 3 exons.